CCCAUUGCGAAGGCGAUCUGCUGGAACUCAACUGACGCUAAGGCGCGAAAGCGUGGGGAGCAAACAGGAUUAGAUACCCUGGUAGUCCACGCCCUAAACGAUGUACACUAGUUGUUGGGGUGCUAGUCAUCUCAGUAAUGCAGCUAACGCAUUAAGUGUACCGCCUGGGGAGUACGGUCGCAAGAUUAAAACUCAAAGGAAUAGACGGGGACCCGCACAAGCGGUGGAGCAUGUGGUUUAAUUCGAAGAUACGCGAAGAACCUUACCUGGGCUUGAUAUCCUAAGAACCUUAUAGAGAUAUGAGGGUGCUAGCUUGCUAGAACUUAGAGACAGGUGCUGCACGGCUGUCGUCAGCUCGUGUCGUGAGAUGUUGGGUUAAGUCCCGCAACGAGCGCAACCCACGUAUUUAGUUGCUAACGGUUCGGCCGAGCACUCUAAAUAGACUGCCUUCGUAAGGAGGAGGAAGGUGUGGACGACGUCAAGUCAUCAUGGCCCUUAUGCCCAGGGCGACACACGUGCUACAAUGGCAUAUACAAUGAGACGCAAUACCGCGAGGUGGAGCAAAUCUAUAAAAUAUGUCCCAGUUCGGAUUGUUCUCUGCAACUCGAGAGCAUGAAGCCGGAAUCGCUAGUAAUCGUAGAUCAGCCAUGCUACGGUGAAUACGUUCCCGGGUCUUGUACUCACCGCCCGU
This 691-nucleotide ribosomal RNA is filed under the name Campylobacter jejuni. Its description in RNAcentral is "bacterial SSU rRNA". It matches the Rfam family "Bacterial small subunit ribosomal RNA", at positions 708 to 1397 of the family's 1533-position model. Lineage: Bacteria; Pseudomonadati; Campylobacterota; Epsilonproteobacteria; Campylobacterales; Campylobacteraceae. The record is from RNAcentral.